Molecule: long non-coding RNA, 1220 nt
Organism: Antechinus flavipes (yellow-footed antechinus)
Lineage: Eukaryota; Metazoa; Chordata; Mammalia; Dasyuromorphia; Dasyuridae
Exons: 3
Source: RefSeq, a predicted model, not a curated record
CAAGGACGCCAGGGGGGGCCAGAGGGGGUGGGGAAGCCGGGGGGGGGGGGGGGGGAUCAUCCCCUAGGCCACGAGAUCAGAAACUUCGAGAAAGUUCUUUUGUUUUUUUUUUUUUUUUUAGUUUAUUGAUGUCCUUCCAACCACUGGAGAUGCUACAUAAUAAUGUGUUACACAGGAGCUCAGGGACACGGAGCUGAAAAGGAGCCAGCCCCCAACAAAUCAUGACCCAGCCUUUGACAAUGAUAUCUCGGGAUCCUAAUGGGUUAGGCAUCCCGCACAGCUUCGCAGCAUCUGCAAACUUGGUCAACCCAGGAUCUUUACACGUCCUUCAUUAAAAAGCGGCCGGAAGUGGCCGGCGCAGGGGCAGGGGACACCGAGACAGUCUCCCCCCACACUGACACGGAGGGGCGCUAAGCAAAGUGUCUGGCGGAGAAAGGCGAGCCCUGCCGGGCAGGGGGUGUAAGUCCGGCCUUUCUCCCUCGCCUAGACCGCCCUCACCCUGAGAGCGGGGGCUCGCCUUGUGGGUGUCCCACAGGGUCCCGCAGCAUCACAUCCCUCGCGCCUCCUUCUCUGCGCAACCCCCACAUUCGGGCCCCCUUUCCCAGGACUCUGAGGGCUUUUGUGGGAAAGAGAAGAUCAGAACGGACACCUCCAGAGAGUGGAAAGCUGUCUGAUAGGCUGGUGAGGUUUGACUGCCCGGCUCCUUCUCCUUUACUGCUAAAGGGGCCAACCCCAAAUUCAUAAUGACUGCAGCCCUGGGGAAUAGAGGAGACCUGGAAACUUCAAGCAAUCCUACCUCAGCGGAGACCAUAAAUACAACGUUCCUGCCCUGGAUAACUUCAUGCUUCCCUGCAUAUUCGUGCCCUACAUGCAUUAUUUCUCCCGAUAGAAUACAAGCCCCUCAUUCUGAAUGAUGUCAAAUAAAUACUUGAAAGAAAGAUGAAGAAAUGGACUAGCACAAUAGUAAUAUUACUAGUUUGUUUUUUAACUUACAGCUCCUGCUCUGGAUAUCUGUGCUCUACAUGUAUUGUUUCUCCUAUUAGAAUGUAAGCUCCUCGUUCUGAAUGAUGCAAAAUAAAACUAGAAAGAUGAAGAAAUGGACCAACACAAUGGUAAUAUUGCUAGUUUUUUUUUUUUAAUUUACAGCUUCUGCCCUGGAUAACUUCACCCUUCCCUGCAUAUCCGUGCUCUACAUGUAUUGUUUCUCCCCUUAGAAUAUA